CCUACGGGAGGCAGCAGUGGGGAAUCUUGCGCAAUGGGCGAAAGCCUGACGCAGCCAUGCCGCGUGAAUGAUGAAGGUCUUAGGAUUGUAAAAUUCUUUCACCGGGGACGAUAAUGACGGUACCCGGAGAAGAAGCCCCGGCUAACUUCGUGCCAGCAGCCGCGGUAAUACGAAGGGGGCUAGCGUUGCUCGGAAUUACUGGGCGUAAAGGGAGCGUAGGCGGAUAGUUUAGUCAGAGGUGAGAGCCCAGGGCUCAACCUUGGAAUUGCCUUUGAUACUGGCUAUCUUGAGUAUGGGAGAGGUUAGCGGAACUCCGAGUGUAGAGGUGAAAUUCGUAGAUAUUCGGAAGAACACCAGUGGCGAAGGCGGCUAACUGGCCCAUUACUGACGCUGAGGCUCGAAAGCGUGGGGAGCAAACAGGAUUAGAUACCCUGGUAGUCCACGCCGUAAACGAUGAGUGCUAGUUGUCGGCAUGCAUGCAUGUCGGUGACGCGAGCUACGACAUAAGUACACGUCCGCCGUCGGGGUAGGUACGGUCGGCGAGAAGUUAAACGUACGUAAGUUAGUUAAGUUAGUUACGGCGUGAGACGUUGCCGACGGACGACGACGAGGGAGGAGG
Molecule: ribosomal RNA, 619 nt
Filed under: uncultured bacterium
Lineage: Bacteria
Description: bacterial SSU rRNA
Rfam family: Bacterial small subunit ribosomal RNA (bases 1-520)
Source: RNAcentral